RNAcentral lists this ribosomal RNA (332 nucleotides) under uncultured bacterium. RNAcentral describes it as "bacterial SSU rRNA". It matches the Rfam family "Bacterial small subunit ribosomal RNA", at positions 568 to 898 of the family's 1533-position model. The record is from RNAcentral.
CGCGUAGGCGGUUUUUUAAGUCAGAUGUGUAAUCCCCGAGCUUAACUUGGGAACUGCAUCUGAGACUGGAAGGCUAGAGUACUGGAGAGGGUGGUGGAAUUCCUCGUGUAGCGGUGAAAUGCGUAGAGAUGAGGAGGAACACCAGUGGCGAAGGCGGCCACCUGGACAGUAACUGACGCUGAGGCGCGAAAGUGUGGGUAGCAAACAGGAUUAGAUACCCUGGUAGUCCACGCUGUAAAUGAUGAACACUUGGUGUGGAGGGAGUUGACCCCUUCCGUGCCGGAGCUAACGCGUUAAGUGUUCCGCCUGGGGAGUACGGUCGCAAGGCUGAA